UUUGGGCUGGAAGCCUGAGUCAAAACUGAACAAAAGCUUGUCCGCUUAAGAAGAAUUCACUUCCAGCAACCUCUGUUCCACAAUGGCAAAGCUCUGUCAGCCACAUGGGGCACAGCAGGAAGAAGAAGGGAAUCCAAGAGGAAACUUGGCUUCAUACCUAUUGCAGCCUUAAUCACCCUUUUUGAACAGAAUUCAGCUGUCAGUCAUGUGGAAGACAAACACCUGUGGGGAAGUAUGGAAACAGCUCAUAUUAGAGAUGAUAUUACAGCCAGCAUCUGCUGCUUGUCUGCCACUCUGUUAGGAGAAAACAGUAAUGCAAGUCCUGUCAUAAAAUCUUAUGAUUGCGAUGAAUGAGGACACUGGGCAACGGGGGGAAAUAUUUUUUGAAAGAAAGAACAGGAAUGAUGCCAGGCUUUUAUGGACUGAUUGUUGUUGCUGCUGUUCUUUACUGGAUCCUGGGCACAGGGAGAUAGUUAUACUGAUGGACAAUGAAACCUGUUCCCUUUCCCUCUCCUAAGGCUUCUAUUCCAAUCUCAUAUUUUCUGUUUCCACUUCCUGAAAUUUCUUGGGUUAUCAUCUCAUCUGGCCCUUCUAAAGAUAUUUUCAAAUUAUUUGCAUAAAUAAUCCACCUAAACUUGUAAUGUUUAUUAUUUGUCUCUAUAAGGGGUACUGUCUAGUCUGCAGGGCCUAUCACAUUCAUGUAAGACAGGUAGCUAUCACUAGGUUAAUGGAUAACCAGUUUUAUACCAGUAUGAACUAUGAAACCAGAGAGAUUUCCAUUCUGUAUUUUGAAUUACAUAUUGAAAUCUUUGGUGCUGGCUGGUACUUAAUCACAGACAUGGAAAGAUGAUGUCCUUAUGCCAGUCUGUAAAAUUACUUUUAUACCCACAGCUGCCUUCAAAAGAUGCUCCUAGCGACUUGAUAAUUUUGCAAUAUACUUUCUGUCCCAGAUGCUCACAGGUUCUUUCAGGGCAGAAGAUUAAUUUGUUUUGUUAGCAAAAGUGGUAAGCAGAUAAUCUGACAAACCUGGUCUGGUGUGAUACAGGCAUUUUUAAAGCAGAGAGGGGAGAGUUUUAAAGUGGCUGUGGUAGGGAAACAAGGAUUUGCUUCAACAGUUAGAUUUGCUUAUGGAGAGAAGAAGAAAAGUUAGGAUAGUAUUGAAGAUGAGUGAGAGGCAGUAACAAAAGUCAGUUUCCUAGUUCUAAGUACUUGUAGAUCUUCUUGGUGCCAGGAACUGCAGUUGUUCGUUUUUCAGCAUCUUUUUACUAGUUAGGAUACUGUGACACAUUCUCAAUACAAAAAUAAGGUAGACUGAAAGCUCUUUAUGUUGUAACAAGUAGGUAAAAAUUAAAGUUGUAUACAGAAUUAAAAACCAAGAUCUGGAUUAAUGUCAUAGUAUGGUUUUAAUUUGCUUAAUAAUUUACCAUAGUACAGACAGGAUUUUGACAGCAGUUUUUUCUGCAUUAAAUGAAACUGAAAGCUGAUAUCAGGAAACUCUGCAGAGAAAAUUAAGUAUUUAAAGAAAUUCGGGGGCUUUGUUUAGAGUACUGCUUCCAUUUUUGAAAGUCAGAUGUGGAGCAUUUUAAUUCCAGAAGACUUUAAAAAUUGCACCUUUAGUUACACUGCAAAAUAUUGAUGUUGGUAUUAAAGAACUUUUUAGAUUAAAGCUGUAAGGAGGUUGCAAUGAAUCCAUGCACUUUUUUUUCUUGGAAUUUAGGUGCUUACAGUAUAUAUUCUGCUAAUUUUUCUGGGUUAGAAUUUAUAUCUCUGGGUUGAUAUUAUCAUUAACUGGUGAGGACUUUAAAUUGUAGGACUGUAUCUGCAAAAAUGAUAGUAAUCAUCAUUACUGCAGUCUGCAGGUCUGGACAAAAAUACAUGUGGUUCUGGUGACAAACAGAACAGGUAGAAUCUUUCAUUCACAGAUACCCUUUGCGUUUGUACAUUUUUAAUAUACUAGAUGCUGCAAAAAGUGGGAGAACAUGAAAACAAAAAAACCUCUGUUUCCUUCCUGGAAUAAGCAUGUUAAAUAUGCACAUACUGCAUUCUUGAAACAGCUUUGGGUUUGGACAAGCAAUAAAAGAGCCCCUGAAAUUCAUCCCUUUGGGAACUUCGAUGUCAAGCAUGACCGUGCUACUUCAAAGGAGAGAUCCUAGAGGAAGAUAUUGUGUAAGCUCUUACAGGCAUUGCUCAGAGCAGCAGCAUAUCCCACAGCCUGCCAAUACACAUGCUGGUUCAUUCCCACGCUGGCUUGCAGAAGAAGUGAUCAGAGAAUUGAAGACCUUCCUACCACGUUCAUCUAGAGGUGCCUGACCAGGGGGAAUUUCCAACAAGAACUGACGUUAUACUUCUGUUUGUGAAACAGACAGACAGUGUCACCUGUGUCAUCCCUGGGCUGCAUUGCAAAGGCUUAUCUUUGUGUCAACAAGAUGAUGUGACCUGUCCUCAUCAUUGAUGCAAAAGUACUGGCAAUCUGGGAGAACUACAGCUGGCAAAGUUAGAAGUCAGCUCUGUGACUUUCAUGUGGGGUCAGAUGAUGGGAACAGACAACUCAUUUUAGACAAGCAAAAGUAAACAAGUUUCAAAUAGGCGAUGUUUUUGACAUAACCUCUAUUUCUAGAGAAAAGCAAAACCUAAUACACAUUCUGACCAAAGGCCAAAUGCUGAGCCUUGGCUGCAUAUGCCUAAUUUUUAUUGUAAUCAGCAGGAACUCUGUGUGAGUAUGUCGAAGGUCAAAACUGAACCCCAACUUCAGCUCAGAUCAAUAUAACCAUGUGAUUUUGCCAGCUCCACCUAAGUGUAAUAAAGUAGAACUCAACCUAUCAUAACACUGAUUAAUACAUUUCAUGUUUAAGCAAAGAUACAGAACUUUAAAUUAAUGGCAGUCCAAGAAAAUGAAAGUCAGUGUAAACCAAAUAAAUACCUUGAGGUACAAAAUUUAAGCCCCCAGACAUUUACCAAGGCAUAGCUUAAAUGCUCUGUGCACAAGAGAGUACAUCUGAAGGAGUAAGAGAUGUGCUAAGAAACCAGACAUUAGACCUGCAGAAGGAGAAGAAACUCAUGGAUGGACUUAAGUCAAACCUGUCAUCUCAGUGACAGUGACAGUGUCAGUUUAAAGAACAGCAAGCAAUCUGAUGAGUGCCACUGAGAACUGGACACUUGCAGCUGAAUCCAAGAAAAAAGUACAAAAACAGUUCUCCAGCUCUUUUUCCACUGAAGGAAGGAGUAUUUUCCCUUUUGAAGUGCCUACUGCCUUGAAUUAGCUUUACACCCUCUACUUCCUCUGGGCCCACCACAAUAUGAGACUACAAUGAGCCUUCUUCCAGAACAUCACAGGUUUCAUUCCAUGCUCUGUCUUGGCUGUCCCUUAGGAAUAUGACUGUAUGAGGUGCAGAGUCUGACAUACAACAUGAGUUAAAUCCUCAGGCACUCUGCUCUUAGCAAUGCAGGUUAUAAAGUCCAGGGCACUUCUAACUGUGUUCUGGCAGAAGCGACACAGGACACCUGCUCAAGCUUUGGUCACGGUUGUAUGCAUUCUUUGAAGCCAGACGGGCAUUAAUUGUUAUUACAUUUAGUUUUUUAAUAAGUAAUUCCCAUCUCACACAUACAAUCUGUACACACAGAUUCAGAUACAGUUCUUGGGAGUUGGUUGGUUUAUAUAGACAUCGAUACAGUUGGUUGCAUAUAACCACCUGUCCUUAACUGGCACAUCUCUCACUGUAAUUAUUUUUAUGGUAAAAAACCCUUCUUUUGCCAAAGAAAUAUUGAUCCAUUUGAGAUGCACUACAUGAUUUAUAUUCUUAGAACGUGAAAACAUACCCCUCAGAACCCUCCCAAUUUAUUUUUCUGUAUAUAUUCCAUUUAGCUGAGUUUAUAUAUUUAGAAAGUAAAUCAUAAAUAUUUAGAGAGUAGAAAAUUAGAGCCAAGGAAAAUGUUAAAUAAAUUUGAAGUGUGUGCAUGUUAUGACACAGUUUUUAAAUUUCUGCCUUCCCAAGUGGAAGUGGAGAUCACAUAUUAUAGGGUGACUAUAUAUAUAUUCUCUAUUUUAAACCGUAUUAUGAUUUAAAAUAUUUUACUACUAAGUAGAAAAGCACACAUCUUAAACAAACCUGUCUUAGAGUAGGAGCCAACUGUAAUUGUAAUGUAAUGUCUUCCAGCUGCUACUGUGCAAUAUUCCAGCAGAACUUUUCCUGUUGGCUGCUAGGAUUUAUGUUACACUUAACCUUGAGCUGUUCUGGCAAUGCAGGGCCUGGUUCCACUUUUCUACUCCAUCAUGCUCACAAUAGUGUGAUGACACAUCAUCAACACGGCACAGCAUGUCUAUCAAGGCUCCCCCAGAAGGUGCUGAACAUUUUGUUUGCUCAGACAGCACAUCUGGCUCUUGAAUUCCUUCUUCUUGCUUCCCUUAGCAAUGUAAGACCUUUGAGAUUUUAGUCUUAGGAAUUAAAAGGACUGCCAGGAAAAGGUAUUGCAUAUUGUGGUGACUUUUCACUCUGAAACAACAAUUUCUUUGUUACCUCAAUAUCCUCCUCCUUCAGUGCCCUAACUGUAACCUCAACAGCCUAUCUAUUUGACUUAAAGGAAGGAAUUUGACUUAAUGCUAGCAAGAACAAGGUCUCUGAGAAAACAGAAUCCUCUAUUGUGCCUCCAUGUUAGCCUUGGUAUAAGCACCACUGACUAGGAGAGAGAGGCGAGACAGAGAAUCCUGUCAGCUUGAUACCUUUAUUUGGCAGGUUUAAGCCCUGUAAAAAGAUGUAAUUUGAAGAUGUUUGGAAACAGUAUGGUAGAACAGUGGAUGAAAAACCUCAAUGUCUUCCAUACUGAAUGUGCUGCUUUGCCAAUCAAUUUAAACAUCCCACUCUUGCUUUGUUAGAGCUUCACCACAAAAUCAAAUUCCCUCUCCUGGCUGCAGCCCAUGAUGCUUACAAAAUAUCGUUAAGGCAGCAAAGGGUGGAAGGUGAGAGGGGAAGGAAAAUAGCAUAGAAAGUCAGGAAGAAAAAAGAGUAAAAAUAAGAUGGAAAGGGGAGGAGCAGGGAAAGAAGGAAAUAAAACUAGAUUUUGAGCUGACAGCACAUUCCCACAGACCAAGACAGUGAAAAAUAACUUACAAACCACAUCAAGAGUGCACUUCAAAAUGCCUGGCUUAUUUUCCCUGCUUUUACUCCGGUGAGUUAUUACUGGUCAGCAUCCAGCAAAGAAGACACCCUCUUAACUGGAGAAGACCUUCAACCAUAAUAAAAAAUACUGCUGCAGGCCAACUGGUGUUCUUCAGUGAGAAGUAAUGCUCUUAUGGGAGUAAUGCAAAAAGUGGAAAAAAUAGUAUCUAAUCAGAACUGCAGGGGGAAAAAUGUGUCUAUGUGGAAAAAGGUAAUUUCCAAGUUGAAAACUAACCAGGAAACAGGCUUGAAAUAGUGGAAAACAGUAAACAAAUUCCUAUGAGAUGAACUAACAUUGUGCCCUGCAAUGAAAAGUAAUUGGAAAGUAAAGAAAACAAGUGGUUUGGAGCCAGAACAUAACAAAAACUGUCACGAAGUCUCAGAUCCCAGAUAGACCACACCCUUCUGGUGCUAGGCAUCUCUUGGAAGAGCAGUCUGUCUCCUGUCUCUUCUGAAUCAGAAGAGUUCACAGGAAUUUUUAAAUCACCGCUGUCUCUGCUGAAGGGGAUCUAAGAGAUAUAAAGAACAUUGCUGAAUUGGUGCUGCCCUUUCCAAAUGCACAACCUCAAAAACUUGUCGUUACAUCACUAAGAUAGAGACAGAUCACCACCAUUGCAUCCAGCUCUACUUCUGUGGAAAUCAAUAGGAAAACUCAAAGUUUAUUAUAAAAGCACUUGUAUGAAAAGCUAUUCUGAACUUUGGGAUUGUCUUACUUUGCAAAUUUCCUGUCAAUCCCAUUUUAUUUUUUUUCCUUCAGGGUGAUAUUGCCUUUCUUUAAAAGAAUCCCACCUCUAUCAAGAAAUUUUCUGUAAACCAGUGGGUUGCCAUCUUAGCCAUAAAUUUUUUCUGAGAUUUAAUCCUAUGUGUUCAUUAUCUCCAAGCAGGAAGAGGUUGUAUCUGCCUGAAACUUGUCCAUCUUUUGUAAUUGUGCUAGCUGGUGUAAUGACUCUUGUGGUACAAAUUAAUGUUUUCUUUUGUA
This is a long non-coding RNA of Corvus hawaiiensis (hawaiian crow), 6132 nucleotides long. RefSeq lists it as uncharacterized. NCBI's taxonomy places the organism in Eukaryota, Metazoa, Chordata, Aves, Passeriformes, Corvidae. The transcript has 5 exons. The record is from RefSeq and is a predicted model, not a curated record.